RNAcentral lists this long non-coding RNA (755 nucleotides) under Calidris pugnax (ruff). Its description in RNAcentral is "lncRNA (ENSCPUG00000004937.1)". The record is from RNAcentral. Lineage: Eukaryota; Metazoa; Chordata; Aves; Charadriiformes; Scolopacidae.
GGGUAACCGUGCCAAAAACCUGUUCGCAAGCAUCACUGCAAACUCCUAAUGAAGUUCUACCACCAUUCUUCUCUAAGGUCACACCUAACACUAAAAAGAGAGUUGUGUUUUUCAUCCGUGACGCAGUCCUUAAAUCCAGCGAAGGCAGCUGCAGUCAAAGCAGUUGUCAGCAAAUGGUCUGUGUGAGGUGUUUUCCCUGUGCUAGUUGACGUUAGUCAAUGAGUGUUUUUCUGGUAUUGCAUCCUGGAAACAUUCUUAUUUAUGGUAUUUAUUAUGCUCUUCCUUUUCUAGAUGACAGGCAUGGGAAGCACAAAGGCAGAGUUGUCUCAUACAUUGAAGACUUCACAACUAGUAAUGAAACAGACUGGAAAGAGAAGGCAAGACUAAUGAGGGGAGAUAAUGAUGGGCAUAGAUGCAGCUAUCUCUGCAGGUUUCCCAAGUGAAUAGUAGUGAGUGUGUGGAAGUGGUUUCUAAUCAAUCCUGAUGCGUAUCCACGUACCCUGCCAUCUACAAUGAGGUGUACCUACAGCUGUAAAAGGCACAGUGAGCCAGGAGAGGCCGGUGUCAUGGACUACAGUCACAUCUACAUGGCAGCACAAGGGACAGUAGAGGUUUGGGUUUUUUGGCCUUUGUUUUUUUGGGAGGGGUGUAUGGGGGGGAUUGUGUUUGUUUACAUUUUGUUUUUCUUUUUAAAGAUUCCUCAUCUGACCUACAGUUGGCUUCAGGGGUCAAGCAGCCUGAGGAGAGGGAUAUAA